AUUACGUCGCUAAGUGUGUGUACUGUCUGUGGUUGUAGUGUGAGGUGGACAGGUUUCGAAGUGUAUUGCGAA
RNAcentral lists this transfer RNA (72 nucleotides) under Candidozyma auris. RNAcentral's name for it is "[Candida] auris tRNA-Asp". The record is from RNAcentral. Lineage: Eukaryota; Fungi; Ascomycota; Pichiomycetes; Serinales; Metschnikowiaceae.